RNAcentral lists this long non-coding RNA (478 nucleotides) under Theobroma cacao (cacao). RNAcentral's name for it is "long non-coding RNA (TCAC_LNC003559)". The record is from RNAcentral. Lineage: Eukaryota; Viridiplantae; Streptophyta; Magnoliopsida; Malvales; Malvaceae.
CUUGUUUGGGGUGUUAAUCUUCUGAUCACCUGUGUCACCUGAAGUACAACUUUCUUUGGGUUGAGUGAACUUAAAAUCACGCAUGUCUCUAACACUAUCAUCCUCUUGACUGCCUUUUCUGCUCAAAUCUCUUGAUGAGGUUCGAGGUUUUAAGCAAUCUGUAGUGAGAUCAUUUUUCUUGCACUUGUUUGGGGCGUUAAUCUUCUGAUCACCAGUGUCACCAGAAGUACAACUUUCUUUGGGCUGAUUGAAGUUGGAAUCACAUACGUCUUUGACAGCAUCAUUCACUUGACUGACCUUUUUUCUCAAAUCUCUUGGUGACCUUCGAGGUUUUAAGCAAUCUGUAUUGAGAUCAUUUUUCUUACACUUGUUUGGGGUGUUAAUCUUCUGAUCACCUGUGUCACCUGAAGUACAACUUUCUUUGUGCUGAGUGAGGUUGCACUCAUGUAUGUCUUUGAUACUAUCAUCCUCCUUACCA